Ictidomys tridecemlineatus (thirteen-lined ground squirrel) is the source of this 1205-nucleotide non-coding RNA. The record is from RefSeq and is a predicted model, not a curated record. NCBI's taxonomy places the organism in Eukaryota, Metazoa, Chordata, Mammalia, Rodentia, Sciuridae.
AAGAGUCACAUAGGGCCACCUCUGUAUUAUGGUCAAAGCAGCCUCAGCCUAUUAAGACUCAGACAAAGGGACUCAGAUCCCAGUCCUCAGUGGAAAGGAUAUGGAUGGAGCUGUCCUGUGCUUUAGCACUGCCACAUCUCAGAGCUUAGAAUGGCAGAGAGCAGACAGCAUGCAGAGGCAGAGGCACAGAUAUUGCAUUCAAAAGCAACCAGAAAGAACCAGAAGCUUCCUGAACCCCAGUCUGGCUGGGGAGACUAUGAUGCCUACUUCCUUCAGUUGGAAAGUUUCUACGACUAUGAAGACCCUGAAGUGAGGCAGAACACAGAUUAGAAAAAGGAGGAGACUCUGUAGUACAGCACUGGCAUGUCCAUUGAUAUGCCAUCUGAUAUGAACUAUGUCUUUCCCAUGUGAGUGUGAAGGAUUCUGUGUUGACCACUGGAUUACAUUUCUGUUUAGCCUAUUCAUAUCAUUCAUUUCUUGUUGGUUUCUUUGUUGGAGUGAAUUUGAAGAAAAUCUCCCCCACAUGGGCUCCCAUUCUUGUGCAUGUGACUUUUGAGGGCCAAAAGCAGCCAAACCUGGAAGGACUUGAGAUUCCAAACUCCCCAUGGUGCCUGCCAAUCUAAAGUGAGAGAAAGUGGACAAGAGAGAGGACAGAACAGAUGGUGGGGAUGUCUCUUUUUGCCCUCCCAGGCAUCUGUGCAUCACUUGGUGAGGAGGGAUAGAUCAAAUCGGUGUUUUCUAAGCUCUUCAGCUGCCUUGGGAAGGAUGGCCUGGAAAAGAAAGUGGAAAGAAGGAGGAGUCCUGGAGACCCGGAAUGAGAGAAUUUGGAGAAGUUGCUAGAAGCUCUGGGACAGUUGUGCCCAAGGAGGGGAGAAGAGGAAGACAGGACCCAUGGAGCUCCCCCAAGCCUGAAACAGAAAAAGGAGUUAAGUUGGGCAGAGAGAGGAGAAGCAGUACUGAAAAUCACCCACUCCAGGAACCUGGGCUUCAGGCACUGUCACCUUGGGCACUGGGGGUUGGGCAGUGGUAGAAACUGGGUCUGUGCCUUCUGUGCCCAUAUCAUGCAUGGUGACUGAGGAAGCUGCUGGAGAAAGCCAAAUAGGGUCACCAAACUCUGCAAAAUAGAAGAACCACCUUCCUUCCUUCUCCCCUGCAGCUAUAUAUCUGAUAUAUCUGCUCCACAUGUCUAUAUUCUGAAAUGGAAA